GUUUAUAUUUUAAUUAGGUACAGAGGUUAAUCUAAAUGACACAAUAAUGCACAUACAUAUAACACAUGCAAUUAUAAUGCAAACAAGUCAUAGCUUAAGGAGGAACAGUGUGAGUCUGUUAUUUUCUUUUGAGCUGUUUCAGAAAGAUAUUCACUGACUGCAUGAAGAAGACAAAUCCAUGAGAGCAUACAUAUACAAGAUGGUAUGAAGCAAAGAUCAGAGAUUACAACAAAAGAGACCAAUAGGGCUGAGAAUUGAACCUGCGACAUUGCACAUGAAGAGGGAUAGAAUUACUCUUUAAUGAAGAUAUUGUUGAGACAAGCUAUGGAGGAUUGGUACCCGGGUACUGCACAGACACUGGGAUAAUUCUGGAACUAGAGAAAGAGCAGCAACUUCAUCAGUAGAUAUGUGUAUACAGACAGAACAGAACAUUUAAAACAACAAGAUAAAGAACUGAAUAAAUCAACGGCUCUGAUAAGAUGAUUCACUCCAAAUUGAUUUUUCAGCAACAAGCCCUGAUGUGGACAAAUACUCUCAAACUCUAGCCUUUCUUGAAUUCAUGUGGGUCUCAGGGUCCCUUUGAGACUGGGUGGGUUAAGCAAUUGGUGCUAUGAAUUCCAUUCAGAGGUUAACAUUAAAGGGGCUGAUUUCAGAACAUUCCAAUGGAAGUGUUCAUCUAGAGACACAUACUUUAAACAUACUCAUGUUAAAGAUACAUGACCCCCAAUAUAUAGUAAAUAAUUUAUAUAUUUAAAAUACAUUUUGAGAAUCUUUAAGCUUGAGUUUGCUUACACGGUUUGUAGACAUAUUAGUAUAUAAGAUACAUUAAGUAUCCAUAUAAGAAACUGAUCUCAGUAGAUAGUUGCCAAUCUACUAUUUUCAAAAUCUU
RNAcentral lists this long non-coding RNA (889 nucleotides) under Cricetulus griseus (Chinese hamster). Its description in RNAcentral is "lncRNA (ENSCGRG00015035094.1)". The record is from RNAcentral. Lineage: Eukaryota; Metazoa; Chordata; Mammalia; Rodentia; Cricetidae.